Molecule: ribosomal RNA, 490 nt
Filed under: uncultured bacterium
Lineage: Bacteria
Description: partial 16S ribosomal RNA
Rfam family: Bacterial small subunit ribosomal RNA
Source: RNAcentral
AUUGAACGCUGGCGGCAGGCCUAACACAUGCAAGUCGAACGGUAACAGGAAGAAGCUUGCUUCUUUGCUGACGAGUGGCGGACGGGUGAGUAAUGUCUGGGAAACUGCCUGAUGGAGGGGGAUAACUACUGGAAACGGUAGCUAAUACCGCAUAACGUCGCAAGACCAAAGAGGGGGACCUUCGGGCCUCUUGCCAUCGGAUGUGCCCAGAUGGGAUUAGCUAGUAGGUGGGGUAACGGCUCACCUAGGCGACGAUCCCUAGCUGGUCUGAGAUGAUGACCAGCCACACUGGAACUGAGACACGGUCCAGACUCCUACGGGAGGCAGCAGUGGGGAAUAUUGCACAAUGGGCGCAAGCCUGAUGCAGCCAUGCCGCGUGUAUGAAGAAGGCCUUCGGGUUGUAAAGUACUUUCAGCGGGGAGGAAGGGAGUAAAGUUAAUACCUUUGCUCAUUGACGUUACCCGCAGAAGAAGCACCGGCUAACUCCGUG